This 253-nucleotide ribosomal RNA is filed under the name uncultured bacterium. RNAcentral's name for it is "partial 16S ribosomal RNA". It matches the Rfam family "Bacterial small subunit ribosomal RNA", at positions 524 to 776 of the family's 1533-position model. The record is from RNAcentral.
UACGGAGGGUGCAAGCGUUGUCCGGAUUUAUUGGGUUUAAAGGGUGCGUAGGCGGCCAUUUAAGUCUGGGGUGAAAGCCCGUUGCUCAACAACGGAACUGCCCUGGAAACUGGAUGGCUUGAGUACAGACGAGGGUGGCGGAAUGGAUGCUGUAGCGGUGAAAUGCAUAGAUAGCAUCCAGAACCCCGAUUGCGAAGGCAGCUGCCUAGACUGUAACUGACGCUGAGGCACGAAAGCGUGGGGAGCAAACAGG